Molecule: ribosomal RNA, 253 nt
Filed under: uncultured bacterium
Lineage: Bacteria
Description: partial 16S ribosomal RNA
Rfam family: Bacterial small subunit ribosomal RNA
Source: RNAcentral
UACGUAGGGUGCGAGCGUUGUCCGGAAUUAUUGGGCGUAAAGGGCUCGUAGGCGGUUUGUCGCGUCGGGAGUGAAAACCUUGGGCUUAACUCAGGGCUUGCUUUCGAUACGGGCAGACUAGAGGUAUGCAGGGGAGAACGGAAUUCCUGGUGUAGCGGUGAAAUGCGCAGAUAUCAGGAGGAACACCGGUGGCGAAGGCAGGUCUCUGGGCCACUACUGACGCUGAGAAGCGAAAGCAUGGGGAGCGAACAGG